CCUAGAUGUAGGAAAGGGCUUAGGACGUAGAGUGUUAUGCCAAAAACGGUUUCGGCCUCAAACCCAAUGCAAGUAUUCAAACAUCGGAUCCAAUUCAAAAGCCAAGACGCCAAUUCUUAUCUUCACGUUCGCUCAUCUUCACGCUUCAAUCCCAUACACGAAUGAUGAACCUUCUCCAUCAUUUUCACGCUUCAAUCGAUUCGGACUCCUCGUCAUCUUCACCGAUCCGGAGUCAGAGGACUUACCGAAUUGAAGCUCCGAUUGCGAACAUAUAUGAAUCCUUUUCUUUAUUCCGAAUUGCUUUUCUUCUUCUUCUUCUCACAAUCUUCUGCAACUUCUUCUGAUAUACUGUAAUCCGCGUGCGAGAGUUGAUUUUGAGAAUUUGCUUGGUUGAAUAAGCGAAGGUUUCUCUAUGAUUAUGCAGGGUGAACCGAGAGUGAAGAGGGAAGAAUGAAGUUGCAGAAAGUUCUGAGAUUAUGAUUGUUCUCCGAUUGAUGAUGAGUGAUCUGAAUUUAAAGAGCUUUCUCCCUCCGAUUCUAUUAGAAAUCCAGAUUGUAAUUGCUUCUGGAAUUGUCGAGGAUCAAUGCAUAGGGUGUCACAACAUGAUCAAGACUAUACUGGCAUUGAGAAAUGUAUUCAGUGUUCAUCGGGAAAAAAUUUAGCGCAUCUUCCGCAUGAGCCUGCUCAACUGAGUCAACAUAAUUGCAAUUGGAAUAAAAUAACAAAGCGGUGUUGAUGACCA
Lathyrus oleraceus (garden pea) is the source of this 742-nucleotide long non-coding RNA. RefSeq lists it as uncharacterized. Lineage: Eukaryota; Viridiplantae; Streptophyta; Magnoliopsida; Fabales; Fabaceae. The transcript has 2 exons. The record is from RefSeq and is a predicted model, not a curated record.